GAUCUCUCUGUGAUGGCCAAAAGCCACUGAGUUUAUGUGAGUAGACAUUGAGAAGGAAGGACUGGGGCCUUCUUUUAAAGGCAGGAGUUACACUAUUCACAUUUGAAGGCAGAUCUACCUGAACAUCCAAAGGAUGCUAUGAAAACAAGCAAAAGGGGAAGCAUGCUUCAACUUGACUAUGAAAUGCCCCUAGAAGCUCAUGUAGUGGAGGCUCGAUCCAGGUCUCCUGGCACUAGUCUAACACAUCGGGAACUUUCAGAGAUGGAAGAUGGAAUGGAAAAACAAAACAACAAAAAACAGCACUUAAAGAUUCCCUUCUGGAAGGUAUUCUGUGGGUUAGGUGGUUAUCUCUCUGACUGCAGAAGCAGACAAUCAAAUGGUUGGAAGAGCAGUUGAAGAUGGGCUUGAAUUAAGACUCUAUGUAUGCUUGCUUACGUGUGGAAGGACUGUUAAACAAGAGACCAAAUUGAUUACUCAGGGCUUCCUUUUGUGGGUCUAGAAAGAAGAGGAAUUGGUUGCUAAACAGAAUGAGGGUGGUUUUCUGUUUUGAUUGAUAGGCUUCAGUUUUGUAAGCCUUUGCUCACUAAGCAUAUAAUUUCCCAUGAUGCAUCUGGUUUUAGUUAUAUGCACACUCAAUGAUGCAUAGGCAAAAGAUGAUAAAUAGGACUUUCUAUCCACUACAGAGAGAUUUAUAUGUCACAAUCUGGGGGUGACACUGCAUGAGCAUGGAUGGGGAUGUGGAGGAGGGCCUC
Molecule: long non-coding RNA, 752 nt
Organism: Peromyscus eremicus (cactus mouse)
Lineage: Eukaryota; Metazoa; Chordata; Mammalia; Rodentia; Cricetidae
Exons: 4
Source: RefSeq, a predicted model, not a curated record